RNAcentral lists this ribosomal RNA (1343 nucleotides) under uncultured bacterium. Its description in RNAcentral is "16S ribosomal RNA". It matches the Rfam family "Bacterial small subunit ribosomal RNA", at positions 28 to 1378 of the family's 1533-position model. The record is from RNAcentral.
GACGAACGCUGGCGGCGUGCUUAACACAUGCAAGUCGAACGGAAAGGCCCUGCUUUUGUGGGGUGCUCGAGUGGCGAACGGGUGAGUAACACGUGAGUAACCUGCCCUUGACUUUGGGAUAACUUCAGGAAACUGGGGCUAAUACCGGAUAGGAGCUCCUGCUGCAUGGUGGGGGUUGGAAAGUUUCGGCGGUUGGGGAUGGACUCGCGGCUUAUCAGCUUGUUGGUGGGGUAGUGGCUUACCAAGGCUUUGACGGGUAGCCGGCCUGAGAGGGUGACCGGCCACAUUGGGACUGAGAUACGGCCCAGACUCCUACGGGAGGCAGCAGUGGGGAAUAUUGCACAAUGGGCGGAAGCCUGAUGCAGCAACGCCGCGUGCGGGAUGACGGCCUUCGGGUUGUAAACCGCUUUCGCCUGUGACGAAGCGUGAGUGACGGUAAUGGGUAAAGAAGCACCGGCUAACUACGUGCCAGCAGCCGCGGUGAUACGUAGGGUGCGAGCGUUGUCCGGAUUUAUUGGGCGUAAAGGGCUCGUAGGUGGUUGAUCGCGUCGGAAGUGUAAUCUUGGGGCUUAACCCUGAGCGUGCUUUCGAUACGGGUUGACUUGAGGAAGGUAGGGGAGAAUGGAAUUCCUGGUGGAGCGGUGGAAUGCGCAGAUAUCAGGAGGAACACCAGUGGCGAAGGCGGUUCUCUGGGCCUUUCCUGACGCUGAGGAGCGAAAGCGUGGGGAGCGAACAGGCUUAGAUACCCUGGUAGUCCACGCUGUAAACGGUGGGUACUAGGUGUGGGGUCCAUUCCACGGGUUCCGUGCCGUAGCUAACGCUUUAAGUACCCCGCCUGGGGAGUACGGCCGCAAGGCUAAAACUCAAAGGAAUUGACGGGGCCCCGCACAAGCGGCGGAGCAUGCGGAUUAAUUCGAUGCAACGCGUAGAACCUUACCUGGGUUUGACAUGGAUCGGGAGUGCUCAGAGAUGGGUGUGCCUCUUUUGGGGUCGGUUCACAGGUGGUGCAUGGCUGUCGUCAGCUCGUGUCGUGAGAUGUUGGGUUAAGUCCCGCAACGAGCGCAACCCUUGUUCACUGUUGCCAGCACGUUAUGGUGGGGACUCAGUGGAGACCGCCGGGGUCAACUCGGAGGAAGGUGGGGAUGACGUCAAGUCAUCAUGCCCCUUAUGUCCAGGGCUUCACGCAUGCUACAAUGGCUGGUACAGAGAGUGGCGAGCCUGUGAGGGUGAGCGAAUCUCGGAAAGCCGGUCUCAGUUCGGAUUGGGGUCUGCAACUCGACCUCAUGAAGUCGGAGUCGCUAGUAAUCGCAGAUCAGCAACGCUGCGAUGAAUACGUUCCCGGG